GUGGCAAGCGUUGUCCGGAUUUAUUGGGCGUAAAGCGAGUGCAGGCGGUUCAAUAAGACUGAUGUGGAAGCCUUUGGCCCAACCGGGGAAAUGCAUCAGAAACUGUUGAACUUGAGUGCAGAAGAGGAGAGUGGAACUCCAUGUGUAGCGGUGGAAUGCGUAGAUAUAUGGAAGAACACCAGUGGCGAAGGCGGCUCUCUGGUCUGCAACUGACGCUGAGGCUCGAAAGCAUGGGUAGCGAAC
RNAcentral lists this ribosomal RNA (243 nucleotides) under uncultured bacterium. Its description in RNAcentral is "partial 16S ribosomal RNA". It matches the Rfam family "Bacterial small subunit ribosomal RNA", at positions 531 to 773 of the family's 1533-position model. The record is from RNAcentral.